RNAcentral lists this ribosomal RNA (400 nucleotides) under uncultured bacterium. Its description in RNAcentral is "partial 16S ribosomal RNA". It matches the Rfam family "Bacterial small subunit ribosomal RNA", at positions 338 to 754 of the family's 1533-position model. The record is from RNAcentral.
CCUACGGGUGGCAGCAGUGGGGGAUAUUGCACAAUGGGGGCAACCCUGAUGCAGCGACGCCGCGUGAGCGAUGGAGUACGUCGGGAGGUAAAGCUCGGUCAGCAGGGAAGAGAAUGACGGUACCUGACCAAGAAGCCCCGGCGAAAUACGUGCCAGCAGCCGCGAUAAUACGUAUGGGGCAAGCGUUAUCCGGAUGUACUGGGGGUAAAGGGAGCGUAGGCGGCAGGGCCAGCCUGAUGUGAACGCCCGGGGCUCAACCCCGGGACUGCAUUGGGAACUGCCCCGCUCGCGUGCCGGAGGGGCCGGCGGCAUUCCUAGUGUCGCGGUGCACUGCUUCGUUCUUCGGCUGUCCCCCAGUGGCUCCGGCGGCCUGCUGGACGGUGUACUGUCGCUGAGGCUC